AAAGCGCAAGAAAGUGAGGCAUCCGUGUCGGCGUCCGGGCUUCUGAUUGAUACUUCAAGCAACUUUGAAAGUCUAAUGAUUGGUGUGGGGGUCCUAAAGCUAUUGCAGCGUGGCUCUCCAUCACCAUGUUGAACUGAGCCUGGACCUGCUGCCUCCCUUCUCCCUUGCUCCAUCUGGGUGUCGGUGAGAACGAGGGGAGCACGGGGCCAAACGGCUCUGCAUCCGCCCAGGAUGCCCUCCAGGACCUGGUGAGGGCAGCCUGAGGCUGGGCCUGGCCAAGAGGACAGGAUUGGUGCAGAUGCCCAGGUCUGGUCCUUGUGAAACUCAAAAUCUGGUAGGCAGGAGCAUUCGACACACAAAGCUACACCUGCUAUUAGUAAACAGAUGAGAGCCUUUGAGAAUAAUGAUUAGUGAAAACUGGGGGCAGCAAGGAGGACUUCCUGGGGAGGCAGGUUCAGGAGAAAUGUUUCUUUUAAAAUUUUGGGGGGGAUUUUUUUUGCUAUAAAAGCAAUCCAUAUUCUCAGUAGAAAAAUGAGGCAAAUCAUAUAUGUAUAUUCAGAUAACUCUAGUCCCACAAUCCAGAGAUAACUGCUGUAGAUAUUUCUUCUAAAAUUAUUCCAUUUAAUUUUACUCUCAUUUAGCAGGAAAAAAAGUGAAGUGAAACUAAAGGGGUUGCUAAACUGUACAUAUUUAUUUCUUCAAAACAAGAGAUGUACGAGUUACUAAGGAACUCUUCAAAUAGAUUACAGAAACAGGAGACUUUGACGUUAGGGUGAAUGGAUGUUUUUUUAAGUUUGUGCUUAUCAAUGGCCAUAAGGCUAAGUUUCCAGAUACUGAGUUUCAGGUGACUCUCUAAUUAAAACCCAAAGCCACCGCUCCAUGCUAAAAACAACCAAAUCAUCCUUCCGGUUUUUUUUCCAGGAGGGAAACGGAGAGAGAGAAUGAGAGGGAAGGGGAACAAAACUUUACAUCUGGGUUUACUCUCCGGGUGAUGCUUCAAAAACAUUAUUAGGGCAAAGCCGAUCUGUAAAGAAAACUGUGCUAUAAAAAUGGCAGACCACUUGCAGGAGUGAGAACCACUCGAUACCGAGAAAUGUACCCAUUACAAACCCAAGCAGAUUUGGUUUAAUUCAGAGGGCCCAGCGCUAUUUCUUAUACACGAGCCACUGCUCAAAUCUAACUCGCUUCCUAUUUAGACCAUGGCUUUUUUUGUAGAGUGUUUCAUUUUAUUUCCCAGAAUGCCUAGUGGCCAUUCUUUUCCUUGGUGAAAACAGGCACUCAUUUCCCCACCUCACUGAGAGCAGGAUAUCAUGACACUUCUAGAUCCUCAUCACGAGAUUGUGUAACGUUACCCACUUUCUUCCUGAAGUCUUUCCAUGGAGCCCCUUGGCUUCCUGCUCUAAUCUGGACUUGGUGCCGUCUAGGCGUGCGGAACAACUGCCUUCCUCCUAGGAUUUCUUGUCAUUGUCCUCCUCAAUUGGUUCCUUGGGCUCCUUUUCUGCUUAUCUCUAGAACAGUGCUGAGUAGCUCUUCUAGAAAAGUACACAGAAGACAAUCUUUCUGAGCCCUCACCUGUGUCCAAAGAUACCUUUACACUUAGUCUGGCUGGUAUGUAUUUCCAUGUUCAAAUCAUCUCCCUCGGAAUCUGGAACUCGCCACCCAAGCCUUUCAACAUCCAGGGUUGCUGCUGGGAGGCUCACCGCUCUGACGUGAGUCCCUACACAGGAAAUCUUACGCUUCCUUUCUGAAAACUUUAAGGCUAGCCUUUUAUCCUUGCAGGGCAGAAAUCUCACCAAUAUGUAUCUAGAUGGGCCCUUUCAAUAUGAAAACCGAAGUCAUUUUCCUAUUUUGAAAAGAGUUACGCCCUCCCCCCACCCCCGGGUUCUCUUUCCAUCCUUCUGAGAAUCCUGUAGGAAGAGAUGGAGUGUGAUCUGCUUAGAUCUCUUCUCAGCCUUUUCUUCAUCUUCUUCAUCUCUUUUUAUACCAUAUCUCUAAGUUUGAGAAGAUUUCUUUCUUCUGCUUACCUUCCAGAUUACUUACUCGGUCCUUGGCUGCCUCUGUUUUACUUUUUAGACUUUUGUGGAAUUUUGAAAUUAAUUUUGGGAAUCCUAUUUUCAAGCUUUCCCUUUCAAGAAUUCUAGUUUUCUGACUAUUCUUUUCAAUGGCAACCUGCUUUCAAUUUCUGGAUAUAAUGUCCUCUUGAAUCUCUCCACAGGUUCUAAGGAAACCUUCUCAAAAAUUCUCUUCCGUAUCCCCCGGGAGCAGGUUGCUCUGCUCUUCCUGGCUAGGCUCCUCCUUUGCACUGAUGGUUUUCUUGAAUUACCUGGUUAUCUUUGUCCUUGCUUGUUGACAAGCGGAGGGCCAGUUUGCCCCGGGCUUCCCUGAGCCACGUUUUGAGCAGUAUUUUGAGAUGUGAAGACUAGGGAUUGGACAAGUCAGGGUGAGGCAGCACAGGUUGACUGUAGCGGUUUGUGUUUAUCCUGGAGGCAGAAGUAAGCAAAUCACAGUCGAGGCAAAGAAGCUAAUGUGACUAGAAAAAAGUGCCACGCUAGGGGUGAAAAAGAGAGAGACGAAAUUGGAAGAUUCAAGGGGUGAAUAAGAAGAAGACUGAUGAAGGGUUUUUAAUGGGGGGAGAAAUACGCCAAUCUGAUGGAAGAUGGGAACACUUCUAAUUUACUGAUCACCACAGACCCUACCACUACCGCCACGUGCUGCUGUCUCCCCAGAGAGAGACUUGAAGACUGACUUCCGUUUUUGACCGCCUCCUCAAGAAACAGAAAUGUCUGCCCUCUCCUCUCCAUGGGUCCUGCAGAGCUGAGAGUGAAGCCAUGAAGCAAUCAGGAAGAGAAGAAGCCCAUUGUCCACUGUCUGAGGGUCCCACGCUGGGAGCUCCACACCACCCCUCCACAGCGCCAUGUCGCUUGCUGGUUGACCUCCCAGGUCAAUCACACAAACAACAUCGCUGCUGCUUAGCCACCUCUCAUUAAGGCAGCAACCUUGCUGAGCUUUACAUGCUAUCAGAACCAUUUCUUUUAAAGCUACCGCUUAUGGAAAUUGUCAAACAUACUCAACAGCAAGGAGAACAGCAAAAUGAAUCCUCGUGUGCCCGUCACCCAGUGUCUUAGUCCACUUUGGCUGCUGUCCCAGAAUACCAUAGAUCAGGGCGCUUAUAAACAACAGGAACUUAUUUCUCACAGUUCUGUAGACUGGAGGUCAAGAUCAAGGGGGCAGCAAGGUCGGGAUCUGGUGAGAGCCCGCUUCCAGGUUCAUAGACAGCUGUGUUCUCGCUAUAACCUCACACUGGGGAAGGGGCAAGGGAGCUCUCUGGAGUCUCUCUUAAAAGGGCACUAAUCCCUUUCAGGAGGGACCCACUUUCAUGACUGAGUCACUUCCCAAAGGCCCAAUCUCCUGAAACUAGCAUAUUGGGUGUUAAGAUUACAACAUAUGAAUUCAGGGUGGAUGCAAACAAUCCCUCUCUAGCACCCAGCUUUAAGACUAUAUCAACAUUUUGCCCACUGAAGAACCUACUUUUAAGCAGCAUUCAUUUUUCAAAUCGAGACUUUUUCAUAAACAUGUGUCUAAGCCCCACCUCCAGGAAUCCUGUGAUCAAGCCGAAGAAAACAUAAUUUUAAAGAGCUUCACAAGCAAUUCCGACGCCCACAAAAAAUUGAGAGCCAGUGCUGUAAUGCAAUGAGAACAAGUGCAUGACUCUCACAAGUAAGUGGCACUGAAGAGGGUUUGAUAAAUAACAGGAUACCCAGAAGACGUAAAGGAAAAAUGUUGACAGCAGUCUACACGGACAAUGUAAAUGCCAGGAUAGCAAAAGAUCACAAAGAAAAGGAAGACAAAUGAUAGAAUGAGAGGAAAUAUUUUCUUUUCUUUUUUU
This is a long non-coding RNA of Equus caballus (horse), 3886 nucleotides long. The record is from Ensembl. NCBI's taxonomy places the organism in Eukaryota, Metazoa, Chordata, Mammalia, Perissodactyla, Equidae.